This 253-nucleotide ribosomal RNA is filed under the name uncultured bacterium. RNAcentral describes it as "partial 16S ribosomal RNA". It matches the Rfam family "Bacterial small subunit ribosomal RNA", at positions 524 to 776 of the family's 1533-position model. The record is from RNAcentral.
UACGUAGGCAGCAAGCGUUGUUCGGAAUUACUGGGCGUAAAGGGCUCGUAGGCGGCCAACUAAGUCGGAUGUGAAAUCCCCAGGCUUAACCUGGGAACUGCAUCCGAUACUGGAUGGCUUGAAUCCGGGAGAGGGAUGCAGAAUUCCAGGUGUAGCGGUGAAAUGCGUAGAUAUCUGGAGGAAUACCGGUGGCGAAGGCGGCAUCCUGGACCGGCAUUGACGCUGAUGAGCGAAAGCUAGGGGAGCAAACGGG